CGCCUGGGGGGCCCCCCAUCCCUGGCUGUCCCCCAGCUGCGCGUCCCCGCCCCACCCCCGCGGCUGAGCCACCACCGGUGCAGUGGUCUCCGCUUGGCGGAGCGAGCCUUGAGCUUCGUUCCACAGCUUCUUUGCAUCUUGGAUUUCGGGGCGGCCCCCUCCCCCACCUCUCUCUGCCUUUUUGUACCCCGCUUUUUUUCUGCGUUCUGCUCGGUUUUUGUAGCCGUCUGUUUUUGCACCCCAUUUCGUUUUGUUUCUAGACGGUUUGGUGGGGGGUGAAGCUGCAUUCAUACCCCUUCCUCUUGUUAUUCUCCCCUGCUCUGACAGCACCCCUUUUCAUCGCAGUUGGGGGGCCUAGGAUCGGUGCAUCUUCCGCCGCGCUGCCAGCACCCCGCAGCGCGUGGUCGUGCACCCCGGAAUCUGCAGCAGCUGCAUAUCUGAGGGGGGUCUCCUUUGCCCGCGCCGCCUUCGCUCCCCGUGCUUUUGGGUGUGUGGAGGGCUUCAGCGCGCGGCGCCCCCGCUUCUCCGCAACCCCCCGCCCCGCGCCCGGACUCGCCCCGCGCCACCAAGAUGGUCAUCCAGAAAGAGAAGAAGAGCUGCGGGCAGGUGGUUGAGGAGUGGAAGGAGUUCGUGUGGAACCCGAGGACGCACCAGUUUAUGGGCCGCACCGGGACCAGCUGGGCCUUUAUCCUCCUCUUCUACCUCGUUUUUUAUGGGUUCCUCACCGCCAUGUUCACCCUCACCAUGUGGGUGAUGCUGCAGACUGUCUCCGACCAUACCCCCAAGUACCAGGACCGACUGGCCACACCGGGCUUGAUGAUUCGCCCCAAGACUGAGAACCUUGAUGUCAUUGUCAAUGUCAGUGACACUGAAAGCUGGGACCAGCAUGUUCAGAAGCUCAACAAGUUCUUGGAGCCUUACAACGACUCUAUCCAAGCCC
RNAcentral lists this long non-coding RNA (940 nucleotides) under Homo sapiens (human). RNAcentral describes it as "long non-coding RNA NONHSAT174832.1". The record is from RNAcentral. Lineage: Eukaryota; Metazoa; Chordata; Mammalia; Primates; Hominidae.